UGGGGAAUAUUGGACAAUGGGGGCAACCCUGAUCCAGCAAUGCCGCGUGUGUGAAGAAGGUUUUCGGAUUGUAAAGCACUUUCGACGGGGACGAUGAUGACGGUACCCGUAGAAGAAGCCCCGGCUAACUUCGUGCCAGCAGCCGCGGUAAUACGAAGGGGGCUAGCGUUGCUCGGAAUGACUGGGCGUAAAGGGCGUGUAGGCGGUUUGUACAGUCAGAUGUGAAAUCCCCGGGCUUAACCUGGGAGCUGCAUUUGAUACGUGCAGACUAGAGUGUGAGAGAGGGUUGUGGAAUUCCCAGUGUAGAGGUGAAAUUCGUAGAUAUUGGGAAGAACACCGGCGGCGAAGGCGGCAACCUGGCUCAUAACUGACGCUGAGGCGCGAAAGCGUGGGGGAGCAAACAGGAUUAGAUACCCUGGUAGUCCACGCUGUAAACGAUGUGUGCUAGAUGUUGGGUAACUUAGUUAUUCAGUGUCGCAGUUAACGCGUUAAGCACACCGCCUGGGGAGUACGGCCGCAAGGUUGAAACUCUAAAGUG
Molecule: ribosomal RNA, 538 nt
Filed under: uncultured bacterium
Lineage: Bacteria
Description: partial 16S ribosomal RNA
Rfam family: Bacterial small subunit ribosomal RNA
Source: RNAcentral